Molecule: ribosomal RNA, 214 nt
Filed under: uncultured bacterium
Lineage: Bacteria
Description: partial 16S ribosomal RNA
Rfam family: Bacterial small subunit ribosomal RNA
Source: RNAcentral
UGGGAACGUGCCCUUUGGUUCGGGACAGCUCCGGGAAACUGGAGCUAAUACCGGAUACGCCCUUCGGGGAAAGAUUUAUUGCCAAGGAUCGGCCCGCGUCUGAUUAGCUAGUUGGUGAGGUAAUGGCUCACCAAGGCGACGAUCAGUAGCUGGUCUGAGAGGAUGAUCAGCCACACUGGGACUGAGACACGGCCCAGACUCCUACGGGAGGCAG